AACGAACGCUGGCGGCAUGCCUAACACAUGCAAGUCGAACGAGACCUUCGGGUCUAGUGGCGCACGGGUGCGUAACGCGUGGGAACCUGCCCUUAGGUUCGGAAUAACUCCCCGAAAGGGGUGCUAAUACCGGAUAAUGUCUUCGGACCAAAGAUUUAUCGCCUUUGGAUGGGCCCGCGUUGGAUUAGCUAGUUGGUAGGGUAAAAGCCUACCAAGGCGACGAUCCAUAGCUGGUCUGAGAGGAUGAUCAGCCACACUGGGACUGAGACACGGCCCAGACUCCUACGGGAGGCAGCAGUGGGGAAUAUUGGAAAACGGGCGAAAGCCUGAUCCAGCAAUGCCGCGUGAGUGAUGAAGGCCUUAGGGUUGUAAAGCUCUUUUACCCGGGAUGAUAAUGACAGUACCGGGAGAAUAAGCCCCGGCUAACUCCGUG
Molecule: ribosomal RNA, 433 nt
Filed under: uncultured bacterium
Lineage: Bacteria
Description: partial 16S ribosomal RNA
Rfam family: Bacterial small subunit ribosomal RNA
Source: RNAcentral